UUUUGUGCCAGUGAAGUAAUGGUUGAAAAAUCUCUAUACAUAUGUCAUUUUAAAAUAACACUCAACUUCUAUAUAUAGUCAAUACAUAUGUCCAUGUUAUAUUCUAGACUUAAUAUUUUCUCUUGUAAAAAUAUAGAAAACAAUUUUUUUAGUCUACAAGCAAAUGUUGUAGAGCAAGUAUGCAUUAUACAAAAUAAUAUAUAUUUAAAAUCCAUACACAAAAACAUGAAAGUUGUUAUAGGCCUUUUUCUCACACAUGCACACUCCACUAUGAAUAAGAAUUAAAAAAAAAAAACAGUAUUGUCAUCAAACUUUAUCACAAAUCCACAUUUGUACAUCUAUAAUUAUGAGUUGGACAAUUAGUUAAUUUGAUACAAUACCAAAGCAAGAAUAAUCGAAAAACAACUAUACCACCGCAUAUUAAUAAGUAAGACAUAACAGAUAACCAAAUUCUUGAAUUUUAAAACAAAUUUUAACUAGAGCAUUUAGUGAAUAUCAAAUUAACUAAUAUCCCGCCCGUAAGGCGGGCCGACCCUAGUUGUACUUAUUUUUGUAUUACUGAUUAUUGGUGUAUGCAUGCAGCUCUGAAAUUCACUGUAAUCCUGCUUUAGCUGGGUAUCUUCUCUCGGUCUGGGUCUGGAUUGUGGUUUGGGGAAUUUUGAUUUCUGGUUUGGUAAGUAUACCGAGUCCAAUCCUGGGCCUUUGGAUGUCUUUAAGUUUAUGUUUGUAAAAAUAAAAAUUAUUAAUUGAUGAAAAGCCUUUAUCAAAAAAAAUUCCACUGUCAUCAGUUUAGUUUUACAUUGUCUGAGUUUUAUUCAUUUAAAGAGUUACCUCACAUCACAUUUCAUAUGUAUAAAUAAAUACUUUUAUAAAAAGGAAAAACUAAACGAAAGAAAAAUGUAUGAAUAGAUUAAUUCUGAAAUGGACAGAUAUGAUUUGUCAUUGUUAAGAGAAUACGUCCGGACAAAAAUUAGUAGGACCAGACAUAAAGCACCAAAGCAAAAAAAAAUAUAAAAAAGGUUAGUAUACAAAGGACGUGACAACGAAAUAGUAAAGAACAACGAAUAAUGGUCUCAGUACUCUCAACGACGGUAGAAACAGUUUAAGUGGUACAUGCAGAUAACGAGAGCAAAUAUUGAUCAAGUGGAUCAUGCAUGAGAGAUGCAUAUAGAAUGGAUCAUCUAGACAUAUUAAACAUAUCAAUCAAUUAUUAUAGUUUUAAAUGAUAAAAAGAGUAAACAACAAAUGAUAUGUUUAAAUAACAAAAAUUACAAAAAAAAAAUAUUAAAACACAUGAUAUAUAGAUAUAAUACAUAGACAACAAUAAAUCUUGCACUAAACCAUGUAUCUGUAAUUUUGAAACCAAAAUAUGAAGACAUUAAAAUUUAAUGAAAUAUAUAUUCUUCCAAUAGUAUACAUAUUUAAAUUAAUUACUAUAUUUUUCAUAAUACAUGUUAUAAUCAAACAUACAUUAUAUAAAUAUAAUAAUCUAAAUAAAUAUAAAAUUAUAUGAUGAAAGUAGAAAGAGAAAUAUAUAGUCAACGAUAGUUUUUAAAUUGUUAAAGUUGCAAGUAAAAUAGAAUGAAAAUAUUGUAUUAUAAAAAUAGAUAAAUAUUUUAAUAUUAAAGAUUUGUAGAUCUUCCGCAAAGAACACCAAAUGUAUAGCGGGUCAUGCAGACCUGUUUUUCCAGAAAAAAACAAAAAAAUGAAAUGCAUGUAGAUCUCCCGCUUUUUGCAAUGUAAAACUAAAAAUGAUUGAAUGGUGAAUGCAGUACGGGAGAACUGCAUGUGCUGAUGUACGGAUGAUCUUCACUUCUCCUGCUACACCAUUCGAAGUCUAAAUGUCAUAUUGAUACAUAUUUUGUGGGUCCAUUAGGAUUUUCUUUUGUGUAUGUUCUGAAUGGUAAAAAUAGUUCAAGCGAUUCAAAUCAAGCAGAUUAUGCAAAUCAAACAUAACAAGUGUAGAUCAAGUGGAUCAUGCAGUAGAGAUGCAAAUCAAGCGGAUCAUGCAGGCAUAUAAAGCAGAUUAAAUAGUUAUUAUAAUUUUGAAUUAUAAAAAUAGUUCAAAUAAUAACCGGAGUCUCUAGUUCUCGUGGUAAAGGGCUCACAGUUGUGAGUACCGCCACCUGGAUUGAAGUCCGGCCACCCGAAACGCUUUAUGUAGUAAGAAAACUUGGAUUUUAUGGGUCUCGUAGUGAUUAGUCUUUGGACCUAGAAAACCUUUGAGAUCACACCACAGUUGUAAAAAAAAGUUCAAAUAAAACAGAUUAUGUGCUUAAAUAAUAAAAAUUACAAUAAAAUAUAUCAAAACACAUAAUAUAGAAGUAUAAUACAUAACCAAUAAUAAAUCUUGCACUAAAACCAUGUUACUGCAAUUUUGAAAUCAAUAUAUGAAAACAUUAAUGAAUAUAUAUAUAUUUCUUCCACUAGUGUACAUAUUUAAAUUAUAUUACUAUAUUUUGCAUAAAACAUACUAUAAUUAAAAACAAUUUAUAAAAAUAUAAUAAUUUAAAUAAACGCAAAAUUAUAUGACAAAAAUAGAAAGAGAAAUAUAUAGUCAGUGAUAGAUUUUAUAUUGUUAAAGUUGUAAGUAAAAUAGAAUGAAACUAUUAUAUUUAUAAAAACAGAUAAAUGUAUUUAAAAUUAAAUAUUUGUAUAUCUCCUACAAACAAUCCCAAAUGUAUUUAAAAUUAAAUAUUUGUAUAUCUCCUACAAACAAUCCCAAAUGUAUAGCGGGUGAGAUCUGCAUGCAAAUCUCGUGUUUUUCCAAAAAAUACCAAAAAAAAAUUGAAUUACAUGCUCCUGCAGUGUAAAACCAUAAAUGGUUGAAUGGUGAAUGCAGUCAAGACCGGCUUAGUGCAUAGGCAGUUGGUGCGACCGCAUAGGGCCCACAUUUUUUUUAAUUUUUUUGUCAAUAAUGUUUUAUUCAUUUUUAUUAACAUAUAAACCAGGGCCCACAUUAAAUUUAAACUAAAUAAUACUAUAAAAUAUGAUAAUGUAAAAUAUUCAAUUAUAUUAUUAAUUAAAAUAAAGAGAGUAUUAGUUUUCUAACAACAUUUGUUGUUGUUUUUAAAUAAUGGAAAUGCCUAAAGUUUUUUUUUGUCCAUGCGCUCAUGUUUCUAUUGAGCCGGCCACGAAUGAAGUGCGGGAGAACUGCUUGUGCGGAUGAUCUGCACUUCUCCUACUACGCCAAUCGAUAGAUAAAUAAUAUGAUUGAGUAGCAGAAAUGUAAUUAUCGAUAUCAUAAAUAACAAAAAUUUCAAGAACUAGUAUCAGUUGGGAAAACAAAAAAAAAAUUAAAGAUCUUUUGGAAAAAGAAGUAAGAAUUCUAAACAAACAAAAUCAGGUACUGAAAACAAAGUGAAAAAUAUAUAAACAAAUGGUUGGUAACAUUGAUGAUUUGUAGUUUUUGUUUUACAAAAAUUAAGGUAAAUAACUAAAUACCUUUUAGUAUUAAAAUGAGUCAAAUGUAUAGGUAUAGAAUUUGUUGUUUUUAUUUUUUUUUAUCAUUUAUCUUGGUUUUGUAUAUGAAAAUUAUGUUUAACAUUUAUAUUUAUGCCAUUUAAUCAGAUACUUACAUUUAUCAGCUUUAUUUAGUACAUAAUGUUAAAGUUCUUAUUCUUAUUCUUUUUAAAAUUUAUGUAGCAACUGAACGUCUAAUGUGUAGAACUGCUUCCACUAAAUUCUCAACUACUCCGUAUAAUCUAAAAAUUUAAUGGCCGACGAUUGGGGCCAUUUCUUCAAAACUUGGAUUCAAUUUUGUUUUGUUUAUCCGUCACGUCUUUUGUAGUUUACUAUAUUGUUCUUUGCUUUGAAUACAUAUAUACUAAUCAGUCGAUGAACAAAUCCUUCUUUAUGCAAGCUCGCCAUGUUAGACACACGCCAGUGGUCCACGCACAGCUCAACUGUUCGCAGGAGGAAUCGGAUUCGGAGCAGAGGCGGACCCAAUGAAGGAAAAGGUGGGUCAGAUGACACAGGUUAAAUGUCAAAUAUAUUGUGUUUUGACUUAGAACAAUAUAGAAUCAGCAGCGCAAACGGUGUUUGUGAAGGUAAACAUAAAUGCUGGGUCCGCCACUGAUUCGGAGCCUUAACGAGUUUACGCCUUGAACUCAAUAGCUUCAACUCUUGCGCUACACGUAGGUUAAUUGGUAGAUACAUGUUCUUUCCGACAAGAUCCAAAACUGGGCCAAUUGUUCUCCAAGUGGACGGAAUAGUAUGAUUGAAUUUUUAAAUCAGAUCAUCAGUUUAGUUGGUCGUCCAACCACGAAAUCAUCAAUUCUGUCGGUCCAUUCUUCAGCCCUUUCAAGGAAGAUAAUACUUGUUGGCAUUAUUAUACACAAUUUGGACAAAUACAUACUUGAAGAUGGUUAUAUAUAUGGAAUAUCUUGGAAAUAUCCUAAACCAAUGGACCACUUGGACUGUGAAACCAAUCAGUCGAAGCAACCAGGGGCGGACGGAGUGCAUAGGAUACGGGGGCACGUGCCCCCAACUAAUUUUAAAAUUUUCUUUAACAAAUGAUGUAAGUACAUAUAAGUGCCCCCAACUGAAAGAAAAAAUACAAUGAAAACUUUGUUGUGCCCCUUAUUAAAUCUACUUCUGCAUCCGCCCCUGGAAGCAACAAGGGCGGACGCGCGUAGCGUAAUACCAAAGUGGGGCAUGUGCACACACUAACUUUUAUUUUUGAGCUUUUUCAAAUAUACUCAAAACAAAAAGUCAAACCAAAACUACUUCAUGUUUUUCUUAAAAUUUUUAUUUGCUCUAUUCAUUUCAGAAGUUUGAAUUAUUCACGAAAAUGCAAUUACUUUAUUUUAUUUUUUUCAGAAUUGAGUAUUUUAUUCUAUCAUCCUCAUCUUCAUCAAGAAUUUAUAAUAUUGUCAUUGCCAUCAAUACACCAACCCACCAUGAACAACCAAUUUGAAGCCCUUAAUGCACCAAAGUUUCAAUUUUUACUCUUCAUAUCUUAUUACUUAUGCACACAAACUACAUCUCUUUCACUUUCUCUCUAUAUUCAAAAAAAAACCAAGAUUUUGAUUCUAAACUUUGUAAGGUUCAAACUCAUGAUUCUUGGUCAUUAACAAAUGGGUCUGUUUCGUGGUAAAGUUCUGUGUGAUAGGAGAAGCUAAUCAAGUUAUCUCACUGGUUGAAAAUAUGAGAUUGAUUUAUUUUCCAGAUAUGUUCGUCAGAAGACUUCCGUGUAAGUUUUCUGAUCGUAGAAGACUUAUACGGAAGUCUUCUCGUCAAUACAGAGGUUAAUUUUGUAACUGACUUUAUGUUUGUUUUUAGAGACGAUUUCUCUUGAAAUCUUCAAACUUUUCUUUGUUAACAAAAAAUCUCGAAAAUACCCGAAAAGACUUCCUCGUAAGUCAUCUAGGAUACACAAAUUAAUUGACUGGAUUGUGUCAGAAGGUUGGCUUUCUCUAGAUAACUUACACGAAAGUCUUUCGAAUUCUCGGUAGAAUUCUUUUCACUGCCGGUGAAAAUCGUCUCGGGUUACUUUUACAAUUGAAAAAUAAAACUUUAAUAUUUAAUUUUAUAUAGACGACUUCCAUGUAAAUCUUCCGGAAGAUGACUUACACGGAAGUCUUCUGUGAUAACCAAGGUUUGACGACUUCUAUGUAAUUUUCCGCUUAAAUUUUAAUUUCUCGCUUAUAUUUUACUUUUCCGCUUAAAAAUUAAGUCUUCUGAGAAGACUUCCCAAAAUAUUUCUAGUGAAAGUGUCAUAUGUUUGAACUUAUAUAAUGUUUGAUAUUUUGUGAUUUUGACUAAGUUUUCUUAGAAGUCUUCUAUCUUAGUUUUAGUAAAUUUGAUUAAAUUUUUGUGUUAUUUUGUUUUGCUAUUGAAGUUGUAUCAAUAACUUCAAUAAAUUUAAGUAUUUUUGGCAAGAUAAUAUUGUAAACAUGAACAUAUUUACUAAUUUUUUAUUAUUAUCUUUUCAAAUUUACAAAAGAAUUCACGACUAAAAGAAUA
This is a long non-coding RNA of Brassica rapa (field mustard), 5967 nucleotides long. RefSeq lists it as uncharacterized. NCBI's taxonomy places the organism in Eukaryota, Viridiplantae, Streptophyta, Magnoliopsida, Brassicales, Brassicaceae. The record is from RefSeq and is a predicted model, not a curated record.